This 519-nucleotide ribosomal RNA is filed under the name uncultured eukaryote. RNAcentral's name for it is "SSU rRNA". It matches the Rfam family "Eukaryotic small subunit ribosomal RNA", at positions 1161 to 1699 of the family's 1831-position model. The record is from RNAcentral.
AGGGCACCACCAGGAGUGGAGCCUGCGGCUUAAUUUGACUCAACACGGGAAAACUCACCCGGCCCGGACACUGGAAGGAUUGACAGAUUGAGAGCUCUUUCUUGAUUCAGUGGGUGGUGGUGCAUGGCCGUUCUUAGUUGGUGGAGUGAUUUGUCUGGUUAAUUCCGAUAACGAACGAGACUCUAGCCUACUAAAUAAAUCGUCGGCUUACAAACGCCGGCGAGACUUCUUAGAGGGACAGGCGGUGAUUCAACCGCACGAAACAGAGCAAUAACAGGUCUGUGAUGCCCUUAGACGUCCGGGGCCACACGCGCGCUACACUGAAGUGAUCAGCGUGCUUUUUCAACCUACUCUGUCAAGAGUGGGGAACCCAAUGAACCUUCUUCGUGAUUGGGAUAGGGGAUUGUAAUUAUUCCCCUUGAACGAGGAAUUCCCAGUAAGCGCGAGUCAUAAGCUCGCGUUGAUUACGUCCCUGCCCUUUGUACACACCGCCCGUCGCUACUACCGAUUGAAUGUUUU